GCACCUUCCAGUGGUUUGUUUAGCAUUAAAUUUGUAAUAAUUAAUAAUAUCUGAUACGUCCCCUACCCGGGGACCAUAUAUUAAAUUGCUUUUUGGACAAGGGAGAUGGAAUUGGGGCUUGCUCCGUCCACUCCACGCAUCAACCUGGUAUUGCAGUACUUCCAGGAAUGGUGCACCCCCU
Small nuclear RNA from Parambassis ranga (Indian glassy fish), 181 nucleotides. Its record names the gene U2. It matches the Rfam family "U2 spliceosomal RNA". From Rfam's summary of the family: U2 is a small nuclear RNA (snRNA) component of the spliceosome (involved in pre-mRNA splicing). Complementary binding between U2 snRNA (in an area lying towards the 5' end but 3' to hairpin I) and the branchpoint sequence (BPS) of the intron results the bulging out of an unpaired adenosine, on the BPS, which initiates a nucleophilic attack at the intronic 5' splice site, thus starting the first of two transesterification reactions that mediate splicing. The record is from Ensembl. Lineage: Eukaryota; Metazoa; Chordata; Actinopteri; Ambassidae.